This 379-nucleotide ribosomal RNA is filed under the name uncultured eukaryote. RNAcentral's name for it is "partial 18S ribosomal RNA". It matches the Rfam family "Eukaryotic small subunit ribosomal RNA", at positions 592 to 976 of the family's 1831-position model. The record is from RNAcentral.
CAAUAGCGUAUAUUUAAGUUGUUGCAGUUAAAAAGCUCGUAGUUGGAUUUCGGAUGGGAUUUGCCGGUCCGUCGUUACGAUGUGCACUGGCCAGUCCUAUCUUGUUGUCGGGGACUAGCUCCUUGGAUUCACUUCCUGGGACUAGGAGCUGACGAGGUUACUUUGAGUAAAUUAGAGUGUUCAAAGCAAGCCUACGCUCUGAAUACAUUAGCAUGGAAUAACACGAUAGGACUCUGGCUUAUCUUGUUGGUCUGUGAGACCAGAGUAAUGAUUAAGAGGGACAGUCGGGGACAUUCGUAUUUCAUUGUCAGAGGUGAAAUUCUUGGAUUUAUGAAAGACGAACUACUGCGAAAGCAUUUGCCAAGGAUGUUUUCAUUAA